GGCCUGGUGGUCUAGUAGUAUGAUUCCUUCUUAGGGCAGCAGCUUAUAUGGAGGAGGUCCCGGGUUCAAUUCCCGGCCAGGCCC
RNAcentral lists this transfer RNA (84 nucleotides) under Vararia minispora EC-137. RNAcentral's name for it is "tRNA-Pro". It matches the Rfam family "tRNA". From Rfam's summary of the family: Transfer RNA (tRNA) molecules are approximately 80 nucleotides in length. The record is from RNAcentral. Lineage: Eukaryota; Fungi; Basidiomycota; Agaricomycetes; Russulales; Lachnocladiaceae.